RNAcentral lists this ribosomal RNA (253 nucleotides) under uncultured bacterium. Its description in RNAcentral is "partial 16S ribosomal RNA". It matches the Rfam family "Bacterial small subunit ribosomal RNA", at positions 524 to 776 of the family's 1533-position model. The record is from RNAcentral.
AACGGGGGGGGCGAAGCGUUAUUCAUAAUGACUGGGCGUAAAGGAUUCGUAGGCAGUAAUAAAAGCUUUGUUCAAAUGUUAGGGCUUAGCCUUUGAGUGGAUAAAGGUCUUUAUUAGUUGUAUAUAGCAGAAAAUAACUGUACUUUUUUGAGGAGAGGUAAAAUUCGUUGAUACUCAAAGGACGAACAUAAGGCGAAGGCUGUUAUUUAGGUUAUAUAGACGCUGAGGCAUGAAAGCGUGGGGAGCAAACGGG